RNAcentral lists this long non-coding RNA (790 nucleotides) under Cyanistes caeruleus (blue tit). RNAcentral describes it as "lncRNA (ENSCCEG00000008180.1)". The record is from RNAcentral. Lineage: Eukaryota; Metazoa; Chordata; Aves; Passeriformes; Paridae.
UUGAUAAAUAGCUUGAUAAAUUUCUCCAUCUCCUCCCUUCCAUGCUGUAACACUGUUUGUGGAAGCCUUUCAACUGAAGGAGUGUGAACGAAAAAGAAAUUACCUAAAGCUUCUAAAUCAAGUCACCUCCUGCAUACAGAUUUGGAGACAAGUAAAAAGUGAACAAGCAAAUAAAAAGCAGCCGACGGUGCAGACUCAAACACAGUGGUGAACAGCAGUGCAGGUCAGAGCAUCCAUAAAGACUGCUGUCUUUGGUGUGGAAAAAAGUGCUCCUUCAGCAACCUCUGCCAUGUAAUCCUCACCAUCCUGCCUCUGAAUAAUCCUUUUGCUGGCUUUAACAGUGGCUUUUCACAGAUGCUCAUGUUUCCAGUGAGAAAAGGAAACUUGGAAGGUAAGUGGUGGCUUUUCAUGGUGAAGUCCACACAUGCCCAUUGCUUUUAAACUGCAACAAAUAGAAAUAUUAUGUCUUCCAGAAGACAAUGUCUAACCUGGUUCAACUCUGUGUUCCUUGAGCAGAGAUGGAGAAGUGCAUUAGCAGCCAUCCUUAAAAAAACGUGUGCCAGCUCUUUCACCAGCACAGGCAAACUCCGGUGCACACAGAGGUGCAGCAUCUGCAAGAAAGUGAGAUGCUGCAUUUCCCUGUCUGGGAAGAAGAUGAAGGAGAAGCUUUCUGUUAUAUGGCUCAGCACUGCUCAAACACCUGAGACUGUUCCCACUCCCAAAACUUUAAUUUGUUGAUUUUUGCUACAAACAUCAGAAUAAAGAACUGAGGUGGCUUUGGCUAAGGUCA